RNAcentral lists this ribosomal RNA (495 nucleotides) under uncultured bacterium. Its description in RNAcentral is "partial 16S ribosomal RNA". It matches the Rfam family "Bacterial small subunit ribosomal RNA", at positions 28 to 507 of the family's 1533-position model. The record is from RNAcentral.
GACGAACGCUGGCGGCGUGCCUAAUACAUGCAAGUCGAACGCUGAAGGAGGAGCUUGCUUCUCUGGAUGAGUUGCGAACGGGUGAGUAACGCGUAGGUAACCUGCCUGGUAGCGGGGGAUAACUCUUGGAAACGAUAGCUAAUACCGCAUAAGAGUAGAUGUUGCAUGACAUUUGCUUAAAAGGUGCAAUUGCAUCACUACCAGAUGGACCUGCGUUGUAUUAGCUAGUUGGUGGGGUAACGGCUCACCAAGGCGACGAUACAUAGCCGACCUGAGAGGGUGAUCGGCCACACUGGGACUGAGACACGGCCCAGACUCCUACGGGAGGCAGCAGUAGGGAAUCUUCGGCAAUGGACGGAAGUCUGACCGAGCAACGCCGCGUGAGUGAAGAAGGUUUUCGGAUCGUAAAGCUCUGUUGUAAGAGAAGAACGAGUGUGAGAGUGGAAAGUUCACACUGUGACGGUAUCUUACCAGAAAGGGACGGCUAACUACGUG